GACACCAUGAAAUGUUUUUUUACAAAACUCCAGAAGGAAAGUAAGGAAUAUGAGAAGACUGGUUAUCAUGAAAAAUGGAGAAAAGCCAGGAGUUUCUGGAAGAAAGAAUGAGUCCUUGGAUUUGAGGUCAGAAUCUCCAUUUGAUCAAUAAAUGAAGAGGUGACCUGACUUUGCGUUUCUGAUUUGCAGAAGAACUGAACAGCUCCUGCCGAUGCCCACGCACUGCACUUCCAGUCUCCCUUCCUUCUCUGCACACCUUACAUGACCACAGCGCACCUGCUCAAGAAAGGAAUUGGUGCUUACGGCUCAGUGUCAACUAGAGUUCAUAACUCAGUCAGUUCUCCUUGGUUUCCUUCCAGCGUCCUCUUCCUGCUCCAGGCAGAAACGUCUCCUUACAUUUCCUUGUCUAGUCUCCCCAGCUUCCACUUGGCUGUUUCUCAGACUUACCUGUCUUAAAUGACUUUGACAGUUGUGAGCAUGUUCUGUAGCUAUCCUGCUACACAGCCUUUGCUGAUGUUUUCCUCAGGAUUAGACUUUUCUCAUGAUUAUAUUUUUGGUAUAAAAGUAAGAAAUAGGAGGCAAU
This is a long non-coding RNA of Chinchilla lanigera (long-tailed chinchilla), 583 nucleotides long. RefSeq lists it as uncharacterized. The transcript is spliced from 3 exons. NCBI's taxonomy places the organism in Eukaryota, Metazoa, Chordata, Mammalia, Rodentia, Chinchillidae. The record is from RefSeq and is a predicted model, not a curated record.